This 250-nucleotide ribosomal RNA is filed under the name uncultured bacterium. RNAcentral's name for it is "partial 16S ribosomal RNA". It matches the Rfam family "Bacterial small subunit ribosomal RNA", at positions 57 to 305 of the family's 1533-position model. The record is from RNAcentral.
GCAAGUCGAACGGCAGCACGAAGAGCUUGCUCUUUGGUGGCGAGUGGCGGACGGGUGAGUAAUACUUAGGAAUCUAUCCAGUAGUUGGGGAUAACGUGGGGAAACUCACGCUAAUACCGAAUACGCACUAUGGUGGAAAGAGGGGGCUCUUCGGACCUCUCGCUAUCGGGUGAGCCUAAGCCGGAUUAGCUAGUUGGUAGGGUAAAAGCCUACCAAGGCGACGAUCCGUAGCUGGUCUGAGAGGAUGAUC